AGAUGGUUGAUGAGCUAUCCUU
Molecule: non-coding RNA, 22 nt
Filed under: Arabidopsis thaliana (thale cress)
Lineage: Eukaryota; Viridiplantae; Streptophyta; Magnoliopsida; Brassicales; Brassicaceae
Source: RNAcentral